This 347-nucleotide ribosomal RNA is filed under the name Arge cyanocrocea. RNAcentral's name for it is "partial 16S ribosomal RNA". The record is from RNAcentral. Lineage: Eukaryota; Metazoa; Arthropoda; Insecta; Hymenoptera; Argidae.
AUAAUAAUUAGUCUUUUAAAUGAAGGCUGGAAUGAAUGAUUGGACGAAGUAAAUUCUGUCUCAUUUAAAUUAAAAUUAAAUUUAAUUUUUUAGUUAAAAAGCUUAAAUAUUAUUAUAGGACGAGAAGACCCUAUAGAGCUUUAUAAUAUAUGAAUAAUAAACUUUAAUUUUAAUUUAUUAUUUAAAAUAUUAUUUUGUUGGGGCGACAGGAAAAUUUAUAAAACUUUUUUAAAUUUAUUACAUUAAUUUAUGAAUUUUUGAUCCUAAAUUUUAGAUUAUUAGAUUAAGUUACCUUAGGGAUAACAGCGUUAUUUUUUUUUAGAGUUCUUAUUAGUAAAAAAGAUUGC